RNAcentral lists this ribosomal RNA (801 nucleotides) under uncultured Planctomycetota bacterium. RNAcentral's name for it is "bacterial SSU rRNA". It matches the Rfam family "Bacterial small subunit ribosomal RNA", at positions 46 to 832 of the family's 1533-position model. Lineage: Bacteria; Pseudomonadati; Planctomycetota. The record is from RNAcentral.
GGAUUAGGCAUGCAAGUCGAACGAGAAAGGCAUCUUCGGGUGCCGAGUAAAGUGGCGAAAGGGUGAGUAACGCAUAGAUAACCUGCCCCUGAGAUGGGAAUAACUCCUUGAAAGGGGAGCUAAUACCCAAUAAUACGGCAAGCCACAGGGUUUGCCGUCAAAGAUAGUUAACGCCUUCGCUCAGGGAGGGGUCUAUGUCCUAUUAGCUUGUUGGUAGGGUAACAGCCUACCAAGGCAAUGAUGGGUAGCCGACCUGAGAGGGUGACCGGCCACACUGGGACUGAGACACUGCCCAGACUCCUACGGGAGGCUGCAGUCGAGAAUCUUCCGCAAUGCGCGCAAGCGUGACGGAGCGACGCCGCGUGGGGGAUGAAGGCCUUCGGGUUGUAAACCCUUGUCACCUGGAAAGAAAGACAGGUGGUGAAUAGCCAGCCUGUUUGACGUUACCAGGAGAGGAAGCACCGGCUAAAUACGUGCCAGCAGCCGCGGUAAUACGUAUGGUGCUAACGUUGUUCGGAAUCACUGGGCUUAAAGAGCACGUAGGCGGUUGAGAAAGUCUGGUGUGAAAUCCCUCGGCUCAACCGGGGAACUGCACCAGAAACUUCUUAGCUAGAGUACAGGAGGGGAGAGUGGAAUUCCUGGUGGAGCGGUGAAAUGCGUAGAUAUCAGGAGGAACGCCGGUGGCGAAAGCGACUCUCUGGCCUGUUACUGACGCUGAGGUGCGAAAGCUAGGGGAGCGAACGGGAUUAGAUACCCCGGUAGUCCUAGCCCUAAACGAUGGGCACUAAGUAGAGGGGUUUU